UGGGGAAUUUUGGACAAUGGGCGCAAGCCUGAUCCAGCCAUGCCGCGUGCGGGAAGAAGGCCUUCGGGUUGUAAACCGCUUUUGUCAGGGAAGAAAUCUUCUGAGUUAAUACCUCGGGAGGAUGACGGUACCUGAAGAAUAAGCACCGGCUAACUACGUGCCAGCAGCCGCGGUAAUACGUAGGGUGCAAGCGUUAAUCGGAAUUACUGGGCGUAAAGCGUGCGCAGGCGGUUUUGUAAGACAGAGGUGAAAUCCCCGGGCUCAACCUGGGAACUGCCUUUGUGACUGCAAGGCUUGAGUGCGGCAGAGGGGGAUGGAAUUCCGCGUGUAGCAGUGAAAUGCGUAGAUAUGCGGAGGAACACCGAUGGCGAAGGCAAUCCCCCUGGGGCCUGCACUGACGCUCAUGCACGAAAGCGUGGGGGAGCAAAAUCAGGAUUAGAUACCCCUGGUAGUCCACGCCCUAAACGAUGUCAACUGGUUGUUGGGAAGGUUCCUUCUCAGUAACGUAGCUAACGCGUGAAGUUGACCGCCUGGGGAGUACGGCCGCAAGGUU
This 553-nucleotide ribosomal RNA is filed under the name uncultured bacterium. Its description in RNAcentral is "partial 16S ribosomal RNA". It matches the Rfam family "Bacterial small subunit ribosomal RNA", at positions 355 to 895 of the family's 1533-position model. The record is from RNAcentral.